CGCUGCCUAAACAUGCAAGUCGAACGGCAGCACAGCCCGCAAGGGUGGGUGGCGAGUGGCGGACGGGUGAGGAAUACAUCGGAAUCUACCCUGUCGUGGGGGAUAACCAGCCGAAAGGUUGGCUAAUACCGCAUACGACCGAGAGGUGAAAGCGGAGGACCUUCGGGCUUCGCGCGAUUGGAUGAGCCGAUGUCGGAUUAGCUAGUUGGCGGGGUAAAGGCCCACCAAGGCGACGAUCCGUAGCUGGUCUGAGAGGAUGAUCAGCCACACUGGGACUGAGACACGGCCCAGACUCCUACGGGAGGCAGCAGUGGGGAAUAUUGGACAAUGGGCGCAAGCCUGAUCCAGCAAUGCCGCGUGUGUGAAGAAGGCCUUCGGGUUGUAAAGCACUUUUAUCAGGAACGAAAAGUCUUCGGUUAAUACCCGGGGAUGCUGACGGUACCUGAGGAAUAAGCACCGGCUAACUUCGUGCCAGCAGCCGCGGUAAUACGAAGGGUGCAAGCGUUAGUCGGAAUUACUGGGCGUAAAGCGUGCGUAGGUGGUUUCUUAAGUCCGUUGUGAAAGCCCUGGGCUCAACCUGGGAACUGCAGUGGAUACUGGGAGGCUAGAGUGUGUCAGAGGAUGGUGGAAUUCCCGGUGUAGCGGUGAAAUGC
RNAcentral lists this ribosomal RNA (653 nucleotides) under uncultured bacterium. RNAcentral describes it as "bacterial SSU rRNA". It matches the Rfam family "Bacterial small subunit ribosomal RNA", at positions 43 to 689 of the family's 1533-position model. The record is from RNAcentral.